Quercus robur (English oak) is the source of this 3906-nucleotide long non-coding RNA. RefSeq lists it as uncharacterized. NCBI's taxonomy places the organism in Eukaryota, Viridiplantae, Streptophyta, Magnoliopsida, Fagales, Fagaceae. The record is from RefSeq and is a predicted model, not a curated record. The transcript is spliced from 8 exons.
AUAAAAAGAAAGAAAGAUUGCUACACGGAGAAAGGAGAAAGAGAGACCGAGAGAAAAGAGAGACAAAGAAAUAGAGAGGUAGAGAACGGAGAAGGAGAGAGAGAUCGAGUGAUCAAAAACUGUAGUUUGCAAUCAAGAAUGAAAAGAUGUCUCUCACUUCCUAUCAGAUUUCUUCAUCUAACUGUCCGCUAAUUUCUUUCCUUGGAAUAAGAAGAAGUAAGGAAGAUGAAGUGUCAAGAACGAAGAGGAGUCUACCCCGCCCAUUACAACAUGCUUCUAAUGGAUCUAGAGUCUCUAAUUUAAUCAAAGCAAAGUAAGUUGUGAAGACAAGUAGAGAAUCUGUCAUGUAGCCAGAACCACUACAGAGGGUAAAGAGUAGGGAGGCAAUGAGACAUGAGAGAAUCAGAAGUGUUACCAACAAAGGAUGCAAUUUCAACAUGAUUGGUAGACCCAAUGCGGCGGGCUAAUCUUCUUUGCAGGAUAGCCUUUAUUGUCUACAACAAUCUGUCAUUAACACAGAUUGAACACCACAAUGGACAUUAAUAUUACACAGAUUAUACCAAGGAGACCACGUGAAGUACAGGAUGGAGAACUUGCCUUGCAUAAUGGAAAAUCAAUAUCUUAAAUAAAGGACUUGGAUUGGAACUUAGAGACAAAGGUAUCAAAGGUAUAGGAUACAUGUCCAAGUAGAAAGUAAAACCGAUUCAACAACAUUCAUUUCAUUUGACAAAGCGACUGAGAAAUUUGUAUCUAAGACUGUAAAAGAACUUGCAGAGAUAUAAGCAGAGCUCAUAAACCUGCUGAAGAUGGAAAAUGAGAAGAUGAUAGCAUGCUUAUUCAAAUGCUUCACAAACGAAACAAUGCUACUAAACAAAAUGCAUCAAAGAAGAAGAAAAAUUGAAGAAGGAAAAAUAGCAACUACAGAAUUCAAUUUAAUUUUCAGUUUUUGUUUUCCCUCCUACCUAUUCUACUAUUUUUAAAGAGGGAUUGAAAUUGUGGAACUUUGAAAUCUAAAAGUCUAAUGUUCUUUAUACAAAGUUGAUUAUUUCAUAGAUUUUAGUCAAUAUUUCACCCUAUCUGCAUAAUUACUAGGGUUAGCUACUUUAAACUUUUAUUUUAAUGGUAGACAAUUGUAGAAAAUGUAUUUUGUUGUUGAAAUUUUAUGGUUGCUGGUGGGUGAAUUUUGAAUAAUAAAACAAUGAAUGUGAUUGCUAUCAAGUUGACAGGUAUUUAGUGGUAUCAUCUUAAUAUCUUUUGGUUAAUUUUUUGUUUAUAGUUUGUGAAAUUUCUAUUGCUAUGACAGCCUUGCAGCUAUUCUUUGAUGAUAACUUCAUAUUAUCCAACCAACUGAUGUGAAUGCUCUUAGGGUGUGUAUGUGUUGAUCAUCCUUAUGUUUGGUUUAUUGUUUUACCAUGAAACUGCAAUUAAAUAAUGUGCCAAGAAAAAGACAUCUUAAAACUUCAAAAAAGCAAAGUCACCAUCAAUUAUUGUUCUUAUUAUCACAAUUUGUUUGUCACUGAUGAAUAAUUAUUUGAGGAUUUACAGGUAGUUCAGCCAACCUCAUCUAACAUACAUAGAUGGUUACAAAUUAAAGAAUGACAAUAUAUACUUCCUUUUCUAAUUUUUUUUUUUUCCUUACAUCUUUCCUUUUCCCCCUUUUAUGUACCAACUUUAGGCCCAUACUUUUUGGUGAGAGAAGUUUCAGGGCAAUGCAAGAUGAACUCAAGUGACUCCUUGGGUUGACACUUAAUUGAGAUGGCUGGUACAAGUCAUAUCCCAUGGGGAAGUACUCCAAUGGUAUUAACAUAGCAUGAGGCUAGUCCUUUGUCACCAUUGACUCACAUGCCUAAACCUGUAUGUACCCAUAUUCAUAACAGCUUAAUGUAUAUAGUUUUAGGUAUUGGACACUAUAUGCUUAAAUAUACUACGUUAUUAAAGUUUGAAUAUGUGUAGUAGAAAUGUGAUAAGUUUAUGUUAGAUGCAAAGUUCAUUAAUAUGUAAAACGAUCCCGCGCGUUGCACGGGUUAAACACUAAUGGUAAUAAAAAUGGAAUAUUGUCACCUUAUCGGAGUGUGUGAUAUCACUUGAAAGAGUUUAGUGAUCGUCCUCCUGAGAAUGAGCAAGAAUUGUUCAACCUCCGACACUCUUCAUUGAGAACUACCAUUGAGCGAGGGUUUGGAGUGUUGAAGAAACGUUUUCGAGUGUUGGAUGCAGAACCAUUUUGGUCUUUUAAAAUCCAAGUGAAAGUAGUGUUAGCAUGUUGUGUGGUUCAUAAUCACAUUAUGGGGGUUGAACCAAAUGACCAUAUUAUGGAAGAUGCAAUGAACCAAGUAGAGUCUAGUGACCCCCAACAAGAAACACAAUCACGUCGAGAGUCCAUAGGAGACAGUGGACUGUGGAAUGCUAAGAGAGAUGUGAUAUGCCAAGCUAUGUGGUCUAAUUAUACUAGGAGUGGAGAGUAGUACUUUAUUUAGAUUUCUAUGAUUGUAAUGUGUGUUUUUUUUUUUUUUUUUUUUUUUUUUUUUUUUUUUUUUUUUGUAAAGACAAUGUAUUUACUAUAGACUUCUGAUGGUGUAAUGAAAAAUUAUUUUCAGCAUUACAUUGUUAUUUGAUGGUAUUACAUUGUUAUUUCUAGUGUUAGCAUGUUUCAUUAUGUUGUGCACAUCUAUAAGUGUGGUUGUAUGUUUGUUUGAUUUGUUGUUCAUAUUCCGAGCGUAAUUACUAAAUGCUACUCUCAUUUUUAAAUGCUACUCUUACUAUACAAUUUUCAUAUGUAGUAAUGUCAAAGGGCAAAGAGAAGGUGAGCAACAGCAAGCAGUUCAGGUGGCUGCCGCCCAUGCACUCAACGAUGCCUAAGAUACUUGCGCAGGAGGCUACAAAGGGCAACAAGCCGUCUAGCACUUUCAAGGCAGGCUCCUUUGCGCUUGUAGCAAAGGAGAUAACUGCCCAAUUUGGGGUUGAGUGCCACCCCUCUUAUGUUGAAAAUCGGAUGCGGACUCUAAGAACCAUGUGGUCCACUAUUCAGACUAUUAGAAAGAAGAGUGGCUUUGGCUAGGAUGAUAACCUAAAAAUGAUAACAUGCGACGCGAAGACAUACCAAGAAGAAGUCAUGGUGCAUUGAAAGCAUGCGGAGUAUCUAAACAAAAAAAUUGAGAUGUAUGAUGAAUUAGCUAUUGUUGUGGGGAAGGACACUGCCACGGGUGGCUUUUCUAAGUCCUAUGUGGAUAUUGAGAAUGAGCCAGACAAUGGGGACAGUGUCGAGUUUGUUGCAGACAAUGUGGAGGAAGGUGUGGUCGAGAAAGGGAAGAAUGUAGUCGAGUCAUCCACCACUGGGUCAGGAAUUUCCAAGUCCCGCAAAAGAGGAUGUGCACCUUCUAAUGCUGAUGAUAGUGUGCUUACUGAUCUGUUUGAUCAACUGAAGGAAAUAGUUGUGGCUCUAAAAGAAAUCAACCAGGGCCCGGUGGAUUACACAGCUCUUUACAAUAAGGUCAUGGCUAUGAUGGCGGAUGGGUAUAGCAAAGACAUGCUCGCAACCGCGUUUGACCAUCUUUGUGAAAAUGAGAAGGCAGUACGGGGAUUUCUAGCCAAGAAUGCUAGGUUGAGAAAGCUGUAGUUGUAUGGUUUUUUGUUCUCACAACUUUGACUUGUCUGUUUCAUGUUGACUGUGACGAUAGCUUUAGGAAUUAACUUUUGUUGUAGUACUAGUAUUGACCUACCAUUGUAUUAUAUAUGUAGUCUUUUGUAUUAUUGGGACGAUACAAUUGCCCAAAUUAUGUAUUUGUACUGUUCAGAUACCAUGAGUAGGUAUCAUUUUUGUACACCAUGGAGGUGUAAUGCCAAUGGUGAACGAUUGAUAUGGCUGUUUUUAUAUAAAUAUUAUGGGUAUAUUCAAAUGAUUAUUUUUGA